This is a long non-coding RNA of Lolium perenne, 1359 nucleotides long. RefSeq lists it as uncharacterized. Lineage: Eukaryota; Viridiplantae; Streptophyta; Magnoliopsida; Poales; Poaceae. The record is from RefSeq and is a predicted model, not a curated record.
UAUUCUCAGGACUAACUUUUUUACUGGCACUACUGCAAAAUGUUUCAUAUUUAUCUAGGGUCCUGUGAAAUCCUUGGAUUGGUGUGAACUUCUUAAUGCUAUUUGUGUGUUUAAUCUGUACACUUAUAUUUGUGGCACCUCUAGAGGUUAAACCAAAAGAUUGACCAUGUGGCACCUUUAUGCAGUCUAACAUGGAUUGUGAAUUGUGCUCCGUGGCACCUUUUUAGAGGUCAAAUGACUAGAUAUUUGUGUUUGCACGUCAAAGUGUGGUAUAUUAUGAAUUGCAAUGUUGUACGCCCUGAUGGCUAAAUUCAUGUUAUGAUCUUUAACAAUCUUGUUUCAUUUUUAAUAAAAUAAGCAAAUUAAGACAUUUGACUGUUAGUGAUGGCUACUUGUUUGAAAACCUAAAGAGAUAGGUUUAUCACCUCAUCAUCCGUUUCAUGGUGGGAAGCAUUAGAAACUGAUGGCUAAAUAUUGCUAUAAAUAAAAUAUAGUGAAUAAGGACAUUCGGAAAUGUUAAUUUAUUGAAAUGUUAAUUAUUAUGCGGUUGUAUUUAAUAGUUUGUAUGAUCGCUUGCUUGUUAAGUAAGUACAUGGAGAAACUAUUAUGCGGUUGUCUUUCAUGUCUUCAGUGUCCGAACAAUGCAAACAAUGAUAGCUCCACUAUUAGGCGCGGAUUAAGUACAUGCUUAGAUAAGGAAAGUAUUUACCAGUUCACUUAGGACAAACUAAAUGAUAUACUCCGAAACAUUUUUGGCCCACUGAAUGUUAAUGUAUUAUUGGGAAUCGGGGCAAAUUGUAAACUUUACUACCUUACAGUGCUCCAUUGUUUCUCCAUUUUUAUUUUUUUGAGGCAUUUUCUUAGUUUUUCUUGUAUGGCUAAUUUCUGACUAUUUCAGGAAUUUAUUUCUUGUCUUGUUGCAUCCAAAUGAGGCACAAGAAUCCAACAUGAUGACUCUACUCAUGUAUAUAUUUGCAGGAUAACAUCGCUCUAGCCGUUGGUGCUAAUGAAGAGAUUCAUUUAAUGAAAGACCAACAAUAAGCUGAUAUAAUCUUGUGCAGUGGCUCGAACACAGAUCCACGGAGAGAGUUGAUUUGUGGGAAAGAGGUGGGUGAUGGAUGAUGGAGCAAGUUGCCGGAGAGGUGGCGGAGAAUUGAUAGAGGAACAAGGAACAUCUGAUUUCGAUGUGUGAGCACCGGAGGUGGAUGUAUAUUGCGGUGCACAUUCGUAGGAGGAUGCCCACGUUCUGGCAUUAUUUUUGUACUAGGAUCUUGGAAUUGAGUGUGUAAUCCGAUUUCAGUGUGUAUGGUGGUUUUCAUUUCAAAUCAAUUUCAGCUCAGAAUUUUCUUUGAUAAUUGA